ACGCACGCUGGCGGCGUGCUUAACACAUGCAAGUCGAACGGAAAGGCCCUGCUUUUGUGGGGUGCUCGAGUGGCGAACGGGUGAGUAACACGUGAGUAACCUGCCCUUGACCUUGGGAUAACUUCAGGAAACUGGGGCUAAUACCGGAUAGGAGCUCCUGCUGCAUGGUGGGGGUUGGAAAGUUUCGGCGGUUGGGGAUGGACUCGCGGCUUAUCAGCUUGUUGGUGGGGUAGUGGCUUACCAAGGCUUUGACGGGUAGCCGGCCUGAGAGGGUGACCGGCCACAUUGGGACUGAGAUACGGCCCAGACUCCUACGGGAGGCAGCAGUGGGGAAUAUUGCACAAUGGGCGGAAGCCUGAUGCAGCAACGCCGCGUGCGGGAUGACGGCCUUCGGGUUGUAAACCGCUUUCGCCUGUGACGAAGCGUGAGUGACGGUAAUGGGUAAAGAAGCACCGGCUAACUACGUG
This 467-nucleotide ribosomal RNA is filed under the name uncultured bacterium. Its description in RNAcentral is "partial 16S ribosomal RNA". It matches the Rfam family "Bacterial small subunit ribosomal RNA", at positions 29 to 507 of the family's 1533-position model. The record is from RNAcentral.